This 466-nucleotide ribosomal RNA is filed under the name uncultured bacterium. RNAcentral's name for it is "partial 16S ribosomal RNA". It matches the Rfam family "Bacterial small subunit ribosomal RNA", at positions 28 to 507 of the family's 1533-position model. The record is from RNAcentral.
GAUGAACGCUGGCGGCGUGCUUAACACAUGCAAGUCGAACGGAAAGGCUCCUGCUUGCAGGGGUACUCGAGUGGCGAACGGGUGAGUAACACGUGGGUGAUCUGCCCUGCACUUCGGGAUAAGCCUGGGAAACUGGGUCUAAUACCGGAUAGGACGAUGGUUUGGAUGCCAUUGUGGAAAGUUUUUUCGGUGUGGGAUGAGCUCGCGGCCUAUCAGCUUGUUGGUGGGGUAAUGGCCUACCAAGGCGUCGACGGGUAGCCGGCCUGAGAGGGUGUAAGGCCACAAUGGGACUGAGGUACGGGCCAGACCCCUAAGGGAGGGAGGAGUGGGGAAUAUUGCACAAUGGGGGGAAGGCUGAUGCAGCGAAGCCGCGUUGGGGAUGACCGCCUUCGGGUUGUAAACUCCUUUCGCUAGGGACGAAGCGCAAGUGACGGUACCUGGAGAAGAAGCACCGGCUAACUACGUG